Long non-coding RNA from Sphaerodactylus townsendi, 160 nucleotides. RefSeq lists it as uncharacterized. NCBI's taxonomy places the organism in Eukaryota, Metazoa, Chordata, Lepidosauria, Squamata, Sphaerodactylidae. The transcript has 3 exons. The record is from RefSeq and is a predicted model, not a curated record.
GGCAAGAGAAACAGAAUGAAACUUUGAAGAUAUGGUCAAUAUAUGCGGAGCAGAUGAAAGAAGCUGGAGUCAAUGAGGAGAUAUGGGAGAAGAGAUUACAAAGAAUGAACUUACUGCUGUUUGUUUGAUAAAAUUAUGAAGAAAAUACAGGGGGGGGAGG